RNAcentral lists this ribosomal RNA (567 nucleotides) under uncultured Geobacter sp. RNAcentral describes it as "bacterial SSU rRNA". It matches the Rfam family "Bacterial small subunit ribosomal RNA", at positions 45 to 594 of the family's 1533-position model. The record is from RNAcentral. Lineage: Bacteria; Pseudomonadati; Thermodesulfobacteriota; Desulfuromonadia; Geobacterales; Geobacteraceae.
UGCUACCAUGCAAGUCGAACGUGAUCCGCCCUUCGGGGUGGUGAAAGUGGCGCACGGGUGAGUAACGCGUGGAUAAUCUGCCCGAGGAUUUGGGAUAACAUCUCGAAAGGGGUGCUAAUACCGAAUAAGCCCACGGGGUCUACGGAUCUUGCGGGAAAAGGGGGGGACCUUCGGGCCUCCUGUCCUUGGAUGAGUCUGCGUACCAUUAGCUAGUUGGUGGGGUAAUGGCCUACCAAGGCGACGAUGGUUAGCUGGUCUGAGAGGAUGAUCAGCCACACUGGAACUGAGACACGGUCCAGACUCCUACGGGAGGCAGCAGUGGGGAAUUUUGCGCAAUGGGGGAAACCCUGACGCAGCAACGCCGCGUGGGUGAUGAAGGCCUUCGGGUCGUAAAGCUCUGUCUGGAGGGAAGAAAUGAUUGGGAGCUAAUACCUCUUGAUCUUGACGGUACCUCUGAAGGAAGCACCGGCUAACUCCGUGCCAGCAGCCGCGGUAAUACGGAGGGUGCAAGCGUUGUUCGGAAUUAUUGGGCGUAAAGCGCGUGUAGGCGGUCUUUUAAGUCUGAUG